UCCCAAGGUCACACAGCAACUUGGUGGUACAGCUGGGAAUAGUACAAGCUUUAACAAUGCCCAGUUCUGUGCUUUAGCCAUCAAACCAUCUAUUCCUUAGCUAACCCACCUUUCAGAGCCAUAUUUGAGAACGUUUCAACAUGAUGUUGCCAUUUUUUACUGACAGUUGUUGUUCGCCUACCAACAGUCAAUACAGAACAUGAGCAUGUGUUCUUGGGACAGGAUUGAAACAAGGCACCUGAACACAUAAGGUCCAAGCAGAACGAAGUGAUGUUCGUCGGCAAAUAUGCACUCAGUGAGCACUGCUGUAGACACUCUUACUUACCUGGCUUUGCUUAAAGCUACUGUAUGUGUCUGUUAAACACCUUUGGUCAGAUUACCCAUGUGCUUAUUUAAUGAUGUCACACUCACCUUGCUGUAACACGCAAGCUCCUCAUUCAACUGCAGAGAGCUUUGUAGACAAGGUGUGACGAAGUAGAAACUUUCUGUAAUAUUUUUAUGCUUAUGUGUGCCUCAGUUUCCCUCUGUACUUUGCAUUGUUACCCAUUGCAGAAGUGUUAAAUCUGCUCUUGGGGCAGGGCAGGAGAGAUAUGGUGUUGGCUCACUGGGUUUGAAUUAAUGGGUUAUUAAAGGGCUGGCUGCAACCAACCCACAUCAAUGGAGGGUCCACAAAGACAAUGGACUGAGCAACUGACACCUAUCCACAGGAAUCUCCGGCAAACAGAACAUGUGAACUCAGCAUGGGUCUGCAGGAGUUCGACAGUGGCCUCUCACCUGGGACUGACACAGAGAGGCAGGGCCAGAAAUGGAUUUCACAGCAUCUUGGCUGGCUGAUUAUGCUGGCUUGGCGAGCAUGGACUAUGUCUUAACCUAAGGACUUCCCAAUGCUGUGUUCCAGUUGUCUAAUAAACCUUGCUCUGUUUUGAAAAAGCU
Molecule: long non-coding RNA, 933 nt
Organism: Trachemys scripta elegans
Lineage: Eukaryota; Metazoa; Chordata; Testudines; Emydidae
Exons: 2
Source: RefSeq, a predicted model, not a curated record